CCUACGGGGCGCAGCAGUGGGGAAUAUUGGACAAUGGGGGGAACCCUGAUCCAGCAACGCCGCGUGGAGGAUGAAGGUUUUCGGAUUGUAAACUCCUUUUGUUAGAGAAGAUAAUGACGGUAUCUAACGAAUAAGCACCGGCUAACUCCGUGCCAGCAGCCGCGGUAAUACGGAGGGUGCAAGCGUUACUCGGAAUCACUGGGCGUAAAGAGCGCGUAGGCGGGAUAGCAAGUCAGAUGUGAAAUCCUAUGGCUUAACCAUAGAACUGCAUUUGAAACUGUUAUUCUAGAGUAUGGGAGAGGUAGGUGGAAUUCUUGGUGUAGGGGUAAAAUGCGUAGAGAUCAAGAGGAAUACUCAUUGCGAAGGCGACCUGCUAGAACAUAACUGACGCUGAUGCGCGAAAGCGUGGGGAGCAAACAGGAUUAGAUACCCGUGUAGUC
RNAcentral lists this ribosomal RNA (440 nucleotides) under uncultured bacterium. RNAcentral describes it as "partial 16S ribosomal RNA". It matches the Rfam family "Bacterial small subunit ribosomal RNA", at positions 338 to 795 of the family's 1533-position model. The record is from RNAcentral.